This 68-nucleotide transfer RNA is filed under the name Eudohrnia metallica. RNAcentral's name for it is "tRNA-Asn". Lineage: Eukaryota; Metazoa; Arthropoda; Insecta; Dermaptera; Forficulidae. The record is from RNAcentral.
UUAACCAAAGCCAAAAAGCGGCAUGCCACUGUUACUGGAACGACUGAAAGUUCGACUUUCUGGUUAAG